ACGGCGGUGGCGGAAUUGGUAGACGCGCUAGCUUCAGGUGUUAGUGUCCUUACGGACGUGGGGGUUCAAGUCCCCCCCCUCGCACCA
RNAcentral lists this transfer RNA (87 nucleotides) under Escherichia coli. RNAcentral's name for it is "tRNA-Ser". It matches the Rfam family "tRNA". From Rfam's summary of the family: Transfer RNA (tRNA) molecules are approximately 80 nucleotides in length. The record is from RNAcentral. Lineage: Bacteria; Pseudomonadati; Pseudomonadota; Gammaproteobacteria; Enterobacterales; Enterobacteriaceae.